CCUACGGGUGGCUGCAGUGGGGAAUAUUGGACAAUGGGCGAAAGCCUGAUCCAGCCAUGCCGCGUGUGUGAAGAAGGCCUUCGGGUUGUAAAGCACUUUCAGUGGGGAAGAAAGCCUUGGGGCUAAUACCCUCGAGGAAGGACAUCACCCACAGAAGAAGCACCGGCUAACUCCGUGCCAGCAGCCGCGGUAAUACGGAGGGUACGAGCGUUAAUCGGAAUUACUGGGCGUAAAGCGCGCGUAGGCGGUCUGAUAAGCCGGUUGUGAAAGCCCCGGGCUCAACCUGGGAACGGCAUCCGGAACUGUCAGGCUAGAGUGCAGGAGAGGAAGGUAGAAUUCCCGGUGUAGCGGUGAAAUGCGUAGAGAUCGGGAGGAAUACCAGUGGCGAAGGCGGCCUUCUGGACUGACACUGACGCUGAGGUGCGAAAGCGUGGGUAGCAAACAGGAUUAGAUACCCCUGUAGUC
RNAcentral lists this ribosomal RNA (465 nucleotides) under Vreelandella stevensii. RNAcentral's name for it is "partial 16S ribosomal RNA". It matches the Rfam family "Bacterial small subunit ribosomal RNA", at positions 338 to 795 of the family's 1533-position model. The record is from RNAcentral. Lineage: Bacteria; Pseudomonadati; Pseudomonadota; Gammaproteobacteria; Oceanospirillales; Halomonadaceae.